Long non-coding RNA from Pieris brassicae (large cabbage white), 1208 nucleotides. RefSeq lists it as uncharacterized. NCBI's taxonomy places the organism in Eukaryota, Metazoa, Arthropoda, Insecta, Lepidoptera, Pieridae. The transcript is spliced from 2 exons. The record is from RefSeq and is a predicted model, not a curated record.
UGUAUUAAAAUUCAAAACUGCUUAAAAAUAAUUGUAAUAAUUUCGGUAUAGAUAAAUUAGAAUGCAAAGUGCUUCACGAGAUUAGACAAUAGUACUAGAUUUUGCAUUUUUGUUAAAUAAAACAGUGAGGCCGUUUUAUUCCCGGCGACGCUUUCCAACGUUAUUUUGUUCACUCCUGUUAAAAUAACCUUAUUUGAAACUGUAAUAAACAAACAAAAGUUAUUGUUGCUUUUCUAGUAUAGUAUUUUUUAAUAUUAAGGUAACGAAGCAUUUGAGAUAUCAAAUAAAUGAUCGGAAGUUCACUGUUUACUACUUUUAUAUGCAGUCUACAUCUCGCAACAUGUAUUUCCUACGACGAUAUGAUAAAAUUGUUUCACUUCCAAGAGGCCUAUCAGAUCCCGAAUCGAACUAGAGUUGUGGAUUUAGAGAAUAUGAGAGACUGCAAGUGUCCACGUGUGUAUUGGCCAGCAUGUGCAACUGACGGUAUCACCUACGUCAACGCGUGCAUUCUAAACUGUCUUCAGAAAAAAUUAAAACGCUUCGGACCCUGCAUUACGUAUAGACGAAAUGAUAGAUCGAUAUAUAUUUAUAUACCUAGUGAUUGGAAACGAAAUUAGGGGUGUUCUGAAAUCUGUAUAUUUAAGCUUUAAAAGUUGAAUAUGUGAUUCCCACGGAUUGAGUAUCCACCAUCGGCUAGGCGCGAAUUAAUGGCAUUUCCAUGUAGAUAUAUCGAAAACAGUUCACGCCUAUUUUAAAUCAUGAUUCGUAAGUACUUUUUUUCUGUCGCUUUUACUAUUUACUUAUGUUUAAUUGCUUUAUUAUGUUCCAUUAGUGUCGUCUAAGUAAUUUUACGUCUUAUGUAGUUUUGCACUUCGUGCGCUCACCUUAUCUUUUUCUUUUUUUGUUGCAUAGAGGAAUUCGCUCGAAGCAAUAAGGCAGCCACUUGCCCUCAUUUUUAUUUAAAUGUUACUGUAUCUUUACUGCAAGGAAAUGUAAAUAUAUAAAAAAAUUGAUAAAAAAAAACAGUAAAACCAACAUGUAUUUGGAAAUAACGUGCGGCUUGAUUAGUAGGACUUAUUCCGUUCCAUUUCUUCUACAAAAAAAUCACAUCCAACUGUUUAAGCAAGAGGAAAUAUUUCAUAAUUCAUAAUAUUUCAUACUUUCUAUAGUGAAGGUGUUGAAGAAGUUAAUAAAAAUGUUCUGUUUUU